GAUGAACGCUGGCGGCGUGCUUAACACAUGCAAGUCGAACGGAAAGGCCACAGCUUGCUGUGGUACUCGAGUGGCGAACGGGUGAGUAACACGUGGGUGAUCUGCCCUGUACUUCGGGAUAAGCUUGGGAAACUGGGUCUAAUACCGGAUAGGAAUCACAUGUGGGUGUGUGGUUGGAAAGCUUUUGCGGUAUGGGAUGAGCUCGCGGCCUAUCAGCUUGUUGGUGGGGUAAUGGCCUACCAAGGCGUCGACGGGUAGCCGGCCUGAGAGGGUGUACGGCCACAUUGGGACUGAGAUACGGACCAGACUCCUACGGGAGGCAGAAGUGGGGAAUAUUGCACAAUGGGCGCAAGCCUGAUGCAGCGACGCCGCGUGGGGGAUGACGGCCUUCGGGUUGUAAUCUCCUUUCGUCAGGGACGAAGCGAAAGUGACGGUACCUGGAUAAGAAGCACCGGCUAACUACGUG
Molecule: ribosomal RNA, 466 nt
Filed under: uncultured bacterium
Lineage: Bacteria
Description: partial 16S ribosomal RNA
Rfam family: Bacterial small subunit ribosomal RNA
Source: RNAcentral